CUGAUAUACACGCGUAAAAAUUGAUCAGGUUGUUGCAACAUUGUUCGCUGAACAACGUUGCAACAAUGAGGUUAUCAUGGCUGAACAACGUUGUUCAAGCGACAAUCGUUAACAACAUUGUUCCAACAACUUGUUCACGCUUGAUGAACGAACAAUGGUUGUUGCAACAUGAUGGAACAAGCGUCCGACAAGGUUGAUGAAACAUGCUUGAUAAAUGUUGUCGGAACAAUGUUGUUCAGCGUUGUUCAUUCAUCAGGCGUCAACAAUAUUGUUCGAACAAGCGUGAACAACAUUGAUGAAAGAACAAGUUGUUUUUAGUUGUUCGAACAACCGUGAACAGCAUUGUUAUAAAUAGACGGUAAAAUAAUGAUUUGAACAACACGAAAACGUGUUUUUAUUGGUUGUUGCGAACCGCUGGGAUGCAAAACGGACGAAUGCCACGAAUAUCACGAGAGCAAGAAAUCAAACGGGCUUUUACAGCAAAAUAAAUGUCGUUUAAACUUUGUGGUUUUUUCUGAAGAUUGAGCAUUUGAGGGGAAAAUACUGAAGAAAAUAACUUGGUAAGUGUCUUGUUUUGAGGUAAGGUUAGUUGUAAAAGCUUAAAACAACGCGACCUUUUAAUUUUAGUCAUUUUCAUAGUACACGAAGAAAUGCACACGCACAAAGUUUAUAGUACUUUUAUAUAGGUAUUGCAUUUUGAUAUUUUUCUCGAUAUUUUCAGUAUAUAUGAAACAAGAAACCACGGUCAUACUGUAAUAAAAGCCAUAAUAGAAACAAAACAUUUAAUUCUCAAAAUAUUGUUGAAAUUUUUCCAAUUGCACUUUAAAUUUCUGUCAGAGUCUUUUUAACUUUGAAUAUGUCAAAAUCAUAUCAUAUGUCCUUCGCCCCUUCCGUCCCUAUUGUUGUUUGUAAUUUUGAUCACUGCUAUAUAUAAACAAUUCCUAUUGUGUUUUAACAAGGUCAACCAAAUAUUUGGUCAGUUUACACACCAAGAAUGAUGUAUUUACUGCAUAUAAUAUGUGAUGGAUAGAUUAUAGGUAGGUAGGUAAGAGUGCAUACAGUUAAAUAAUUAGCCAUUUCUCAUAUUUCCUUUUAUUUCCUGGUUAAGCAGGUGACUAUAAUUGUCAUGGAAGGUAUGAAGGAGGUAGCUAUGAUUUUAUCACAUGGCUAUGGGGGAUAAUUAUGACCAUUAUUAUGCUCAAAUGUAAUUAUUGUCUCAUUUUUAUCCUUUUUGUAGUGUAAACUUAAGUAUAAAAAUAAAGAUUUAUGAAUAUGUCAGACAAAUUAUAUAAAAUGGGUGAUCACUUGGUAAGUAAUUUUUAUACCUUUGUUGUGGUCUGUGUAGAUGGAGGCUAUUUUGGCAAUAGCCAUGCACUUAGACAUAGCAUGACCAGUCCAUAUGUGGACUGCCUAUGUCUAUUAAACAUGAUUGAAUACCCAAAUUAGAUUCAAGAUUAUGAUAUGUCCCAGGCAUGGAUCCAAAAAUGACCAUGUGCUGAAGUUAUAUGGCAUGAGCCAUGUAAAAUAUGGUGGGAAACAUACAAUUGGGGCUGCAUCCCACCAUAAUGCACUAGUCAAUUGAAACCCCGACCCCCGGGAUAGGGAGGGGAAAUUAACAUUUUGACAAUGUUAAAUUUUGGACAUUUAAAUUCCUAGCUGCUACCGGGAGAAUAUUGACUGUUAAAAUUACUGUCCCUAUGGCCCCAGCACUUGGCAAAUUUUCAUGACUUGGGAAAUUUUCAUGACUUGGGAAUUAAUUGUCCUGGCUAAUAAAUUGAUUUGUUAUUUAUUACCCUGUACCCUGGGGGAAAUCUGCAUUAAGACCGUGUUAAUCCACGGCCAUUCCCCCGUUAAUUCCCCGCCCUGUCCCGGGGUUGGGGGUUUCAAUUGACUAGUGCAUGCAUAAACAUUGCAAAGGUCCAUUUUGUAAAUUAAUGGCACUAUAUGUAUUUAAUCAUAAUUUAUAGGGCCUGUGAGUUCAUAUCUGGAAUAAAAUAAUGGCAAAUCUACAGAAAUAUCACUGCUAAGGAGUGUCAAACAAAUUCAGGAGGACUGAAUUAACUGGAUGUUCUCAGGAUGAAAAAGAAAUUGCUGACUUUAAUUGAAUAAUCAUUAUCAUUAAUGUUAAAGGUUAAAAAUAUUGAACAUUCAAAAGGAUGCAGACAGAAAUUUGAAAGUAGGGCCUGAAUUUCAGGUUAAGUGAUCCAGGAAUGGGGUUGGCCCUCUGCAGGCUAAAUCAAUUGAGGGAGAUCACUUUAUUUCAAGUUAAAUGAUUAUUUGAAUAAGAUGCCAUUCAGGCAAUAAGGGCCUGGUUAGGUCCAUAUUUUAAUUCAAAUUAUUAAGUACUCGAUUUAUCCAUCAACAAAACCCAACAUUAAAAUUUCCAUCGAGUGAGAUGCAACAAAACCAUCUAUAGUUUAUUAAUUAUGUUAACCUAAUCCAUCAAUUGGCAAUGAGCCUACUUUAGUAUUUUAUAUACUCCAUCUCUAAUUUGCCCAUUAUAUUUAUAAAGUUGACAGUUAAUACUAUUACUCUUUCACAUAUUACUAAUAAAAUUCAUCUGGGCCCGGUUGUUCGAAGCCUGUGAAAGCCUUUGAACUACCGGCCCCAGAUGAUUUUAUUAGUCUGUGAAAGAUUAAUUAUUAACUGUCAGUUUAUAAAUAUAAUGGGCAAAUAUAUGAUUAUGUACAAAUUGCAUGCAUGGUUCAUAAUAUCUCUGUGAUAGACUUGCUCCAGAAGAUUCAAAUUCCAUCCUGACAAU
Molecule: long non-coding RNA, 2761 nt
Filed under: Paramuricea clavata
Lineage: Eukaryota; Metazoa; Cnidaria; Anthozoa; Malacalcyonacea; Plexauridae
Source: RNAcentral